This 398-nucleotide unclassified non-coding RNA is filed under the name soil metagenome. RNAcentral's name for it is "partial contains 5.8S ribosomal RNA, internal transcribed spacer 2, and large subunit ribosomal RNA". The stretch from base 1 to 120 matches the Rfam family "5.8S ribosomal RNA", at positions 35 to 154 of the family's 154-position model. The record is from RNAcentral.
GAUGAAGAACGUAGCGAAAUGCGAUACUUGGUGUGAAUUGCAGAAUCCCGUGAACCAUCGAGUCUUUGAACGCAAGUUGCGCCCGAAGCCUCGGCUAAGGGCACGUCUGCCUGGGCGUCACGCAUCGCGUCUCCCCCAAACCGCCAAGGCGGAGGGGAAGGAAGAUGGCUUCCCGUGCCUCACCCGGCGCGGUUGGCCUAAAUUUGGAGCCCGCGGCACUUAGCUCACGCGGCGAUAGGUGGUGAACAAGGCCUUGGCCGUGCAAACAACCCGCUGCGAAGCUCUAUGUCACGUGCGCUCGUCGGACCCUUUGAAGUUGCCUUCGGUGACUUAAAACCUUUGCGACCCCAGGUCAGGCGGGGCUACCCGCUGAAUUUAAGCAUAUCAAUAGCGGAGGA